CUGACUCCACGGGCCAUGGCGAAGGAAGAGAAGGUCCCCCUUUUCUGGAUCGAUGAUGAUCAAUGCCAGCGUAUGAGGCAUCGAUGACGAAUAAUGUGUGUCUGGAACUCUGAGGUCCACUCGCAAGGAAACGGGGCCUUUCUCUUCCUGCCUUUCCAUCCUCGAGCCCAACGGGGCAGCGCCGACCGCCCGAGGAGCCCAGUCGAUGGCGUCUCACUGUGGGUGUCACCUUGUCUCUUGGGUCUCCCUUAUAGGGUGGAAGCCGAAGGCCAGGCCAGGCUGCGUGGGGCCGAGACCCCUCCUCUGGCGGUGGUGGCAGGAGAGAUCCCAAGUUUUGUCCUUGGGCCAGGUGUUUGGAUUUCAUUGCCUUAGUCCUAAAUGGAGUCCCAACAUGAAGGACAUCCCUGCGACUGGAGAGCCCUGCCCCUCCGGGCUCACUAGUGGAGGCCCGAGAACAUGGAUAUUCAUGAGGGUCCCUCCGUGUGGAGUGUGUACCCCUCAGAGCAAUUGCACUGGAGAUGCUUUAGCAUCUUCCGUACGGACCCGAGCUCUGGGAUUGCCUCUGAACAUACGUGUUAGGACAUGGGAGAGUCACAGGACAUGCUCCCCGCUCUUUCGGCUUCUGCUGAGCUCAAGAUUGUCAGGCCGCCUCCGCGCCAGCAAAGAAGCGAAGGUGACCGUGGGGCAGGUUGUUGUUGGGUCGGGUGGUCUGUUUGCGGGUACUCAGGGUACUAUUAGAAAGCGUGGAAUGAAUCUGAAAGGUACUCGUCAUUCCACGCGAGAGGGGCUGCGCCUCACUGUCUGCUGAGGGAUGAUGGGCAGGACUGAGGUGGGAGAGUGGAAGAGAGAGCCCCUCGGUGGGAAAGGACGCUACAGACUGAGCUUAGGGAUUACGGAAAUGAACGAGGCGCAGAGACUCGGUCAUGGACCAGUGAUGAGGGUCGUGACGGGAGGAGUCCUGAACGAUGACAACAUCUGAAACUCUGAGGUCCAACCCAGCGCCCGAGUCGCCUCUUGCCUUGGGUGUCACUGUGCCUGUAGAGCGAUGUCAGGAAUACGGAGACAUCACCUCCUUGUGUUAUUUCACGGACUUAGAUUUGCUGCUCUGGCUAGAGCUGUGUUAGAGCCAUCAAGCCAGCAUAAGCUAACAUGUAAGGAAACACAGGGUGAUGCAGUGUCCAAGUAGGAACAUAUCUCGUGAGGGAAAGAGACUGUCCGUAAACCCUGAAAGCAGGGAUGCUCAUUAAGUAAAUGGGGCAGGGCCACCUCUCUGACCGAGGUUAGAUCGAAAAGCAGAAGUAAGGGUCGCUUUAACUGUUCUGCCUCAGACGAAUGGUUGAGUUUCUUAACAAGAAAAAUAUCUUGAGAAAGAAAAAAAAUAAAUGUCUACAUACUGAGUA
Molecule: long non-coding RNA, 1400 nt
Filed under: Sus scrofa (pig)
Lineage: Eukaryota; Metazoa; Chordata; Mammalia; Artiodactyla; Suidae
Description: lncRNA (ENSSSCG00015008985.1)
Rfam family: Small nucleolar RNA SNORD113/SNORD114 family (bases 46-120)
Source: RNAcentral